This 214-nucleotide unclassified non-coding RNA is filed under the name Hevea brasiliensis (rubber tree). Lineage: Eukaryota; Viridiplantae; Streptophyta; Magnoliopsida; Malpighiales; Euphorbiaceae. The record is from RNAcentral.
GCACUAUUCACUUUCAAAGCAAGCUCAGCCUCUUGUUUCCCAAUAUGGAAUGUUAUAUCUGACUCCAGUUGCUUCACACGAAGAUCCUUUCCCUCUAGUAAGUUCGUCAAGAUUCUUCUUCCAUCAUGAAAAUAGAUCUCCAAAAUAUUUGAAAAUGAUUGCUUAUCAAUCCGUAUGAGUCUGCAUAGUUCACUAACACGGACAGUAUAUGGCU